Molecule: long non-coding RNA, 373 nt
Filed under: Gallus gallus (chicken)
Lineage: Eukaryota; Metazoa; Chordata; Aves; Galliformes; Phasianidae
Source: RNAcentral
CCUCGUUUCUGUUUUUGUAGAGAAGGAUUAAUUCUCUUCCUUUUGUGUGCUGACCCUCGGCUUUCCCGUAAAAAUUUUGUAGCACUGCUCUGUUUUCCAUGUCUCGAUCGCUUUUCUCUACUAACGUGUAGUCCAUUGAACUCGUCAAUAAAUUCCUCACAAUGUAGGAGAUGAUGUUCAGGUUCCCAAGUAUCUUCAUUGCUCCCGUAACCUUUCCAUCUGAUGAGAUAUUCCCAUUUGCCCUUCUUGUUCUUCCUUUUGUCUACAAUCCUCUCCACCUGGACUUUCUCCACUCUCCGGGCUCAUCACACCGCGAUCACCUCCCCAUCCUACCGCUAACUCUCGCUCUCCUUCACUCCUUCCUCCUUCUCCC